GCAUGGGUUUGGAUUUAUGGCAGGCCGUUCCCCUGGGUCUCUCAUAGUAUUCUGUGCUAGAGCAACCCGUGGCCCUGUCUGUAGUAAGUGGGUCAACACAGUA
This 103-nucleotide small nucleolar RNA is filed under the name Mus caroli (Ryukyu mouse). RNAcentral's name for it is "snoRNA (MGP_CAROLIEiJ_G0035888.1)". It matches the Rfam family "Small nucleolar RNA SNORA42/SNORA80 family". From Rfam's summary of the family: The members of this family belong to the H/ACA class of snoRNAs that guide the sites of modification of uridines to pseudouridines. Human ACA42 (SNORA42) was cloned from HeLa cells by immunoprecipitation with anti-GAR1 antibody. Its is predicted to guide the pseudouridylation of residues U109 and U572 of 18S rRNA. Lineage: Eukaryota; Metazoa; Chordata; Mammalia; Rodentia; Muridae. The record is from RNAcentral.